AUACGGAGGAUCCGAGCGUUAUCCGAAUUUAUUGGGUUUAAAGGGUGCGCAGGCGGCCAUUUAAGUCAGCGGUUAAAUCUUGGGGCUCAACCCCAUUCUGCCGUUGAUACUGGGUGGCUUGAUUGCGGUCGAGGUUGGCGGAAUUCGUUGUGUAGCGGUGAAAUGCAUAGAUAUGACGAAGAACACCGAUUGCGUAGGCAGCUGACCAGACCGCAAAUGACGCUCAUGCACGAAAGUGCGGGGAUCGAACAGGAUUAGAUACCCUGGUAGUCCGCACAGUAAACGAUGAAUACUUGUUUUCGGCGAUAUAAUGUCGGAGGCAAAGCGAAAGCGAUAAGUAUUCCACCUGGGGAGUACGCCGGCAACGGUGAAACUUAAAGGAAUUGACGGG
Molecule: ribosomal RNA, 391 nt
Filed under: uncultured bacterium
Lineage: Bacteria
Description: partial 16S ribosomal RNA
Rfam family: Bacterial small subunit ribosomal RNA
Source: RNAcentral